GGUUGUGGCUCAGCAGUAGAGCACUUGCCUAGCACAUGUGAGGCCCUGGGUUCAAUUCUCAGCACCA
RNAcentral lists this transfer RNA (67 nucleotides) under Marmota monax (woodchuck). RNAcentral describes it as "tRNA.Ala". The record is from RNAcentral. Lineage: Eukaryota; Metazoa; Chordata; Mammalia; Rodentia; Sciuridae.